AUGGAGAAAACAGGAUCAUCCCUUCAUUCUCCCACUAACGGAAGUCUCAUCACUAUUCUUAGUAGUGAUGGAGAUGGAAUGAGAGGGAUAAUUACAGGAUUAUACUCAAGUUCCUAGAGUCUUAUUUUCAAGUAAAAAAAUAAAAACCAGAACUCUAUAUACAUGUUUAGCAGGAUUAUUGAUUAUGAGCAAUACAUAUUACUUAACUUUGUUCACCAAACAAUGCUUCGUUCAUUAAAAUAUAAGUCCAAUUAAUCUGUAUUUUUGUUAGUUGAUACCAUGUUAUAUGAACUUCUAGGAUAUAAUAUAUUUGUAUGUGUAACACAAGGUUCAUAUACUAUGGAACGUAUCGUAUAGAUAAUAAAUACGUGUAUUACAAAAUGAGUGAAUUAAUCAUGUCAUCACAUGGUGCUACACCCAGCUUGUAUGUUUUCUGCACUUCUCACAAUUUGAUGUUGGUGUGUUGUUCAUGUUUUUUUAAAAUAAAAAUAAAUCUAAUACGACUAAUUUUUGCUUUACCUGUUGGCUAUAUGCAGAAGCUGGAUGGUAAGCAUGUAAGGCUCGCAUAUUAUUUUCAUGUGGUUACAUGGACGAGCACAAGUGGCCUUGUGACUGUCAUGUUCACUACCCCAGAUGAAAAUAAUAAUCCCUUGUAUGUUGAUGAAGAUAUCAUCCCUUUGUAUCUUGAACAUUGCCCUAAAAUCCUCCCCAAAACC
RNAcentral lists this long non-coding RNA (716 nucleotides) under Prunus dulcis (almond). RNAcentral's name for it is "sRNA ncRNA". The record is from RNAcentral. Lineage: Eukaryota; Viridiplantae; Streptophyta; Magnoliopsida; Rosales; Rosaceae.